CGGAGGUUCAGUCCUCCCAGGCCCACCACUUCCUUUCGAUACGAAGGUUAUCAGGGGCCGUAGCUCAGCUGGGAGAGCGCCUGCUUUGCAAGCAGGAUGUCGUCGGUUCGAUCCCGUCCGGCUCCACCAACCAUCUUCUGCGAAGAUGGGGCGUGUCGAGUAAGAUGGUAAGAAAAAAGUCAUUCGAUAAAAGAGUUUGCGUCGAGCCUCUUGGCUCUGCGCCUGUUCUGUUUGACAUCGUAAAGAGAAGAUUUGUUCGAACUUCAUGAGCCGCAAGGACCGUGAUUUGUCGCUGGAGACGCUCAAUCUCCAGCAUAUGAUGGGUUUGCCUAACCGCGCCCUCGAACGGAUCUCGAGAAGCUGGUCUUUUUGUGCCAAUUCCAUUCGAGCUAAGCCCCGCACAAGGUUUGGCUCAAGGCGACGAUCUCUGCGAGAUCGCGCUUGUGCGCCGAUCUCUGCGAGAUCGCGCUUAGCCAAUCCUGCAAGGGCGAGGCUGAAGCGACGAUCCCUGCGGGAUCGCGCGAUGAUGGGUAUUGGCAAUGAGAACGAUCAAGUGUCUUAAGGGCAAUUGGUGGAUGCCUUGGCAUGCACAGGCGAUGAAGGACGUGAUACGCUGCGAUAAGCUACGGG
Molecule: unclassified non-coding RNA, 630 nt
Filed under: Mesorhizobium sp.
Lineage: Bacteria; Pseudomonadati; Pseudomonadota; Alphaproteobacteria; Hyphomicrobiales; Phyllobacteriaceae
Description: partial 16S-23S ribosomal RNA intergenic spacer
Rfam family: tRNA (bases 54-126)
Source: RNAcentral